This 427-nucleotide ribosomal RNA is filed under the name uncultured bacterium. Its description in RNAcentral is "partial 16S ribosomal RNA". It matches the Rfam family "Bacterial small subunit ribosomal RNA", at positions 355 to 774 of the family's 1533-position model. The record is from RNAcentral.
UGGGGAAUAUUGGACAAUGGGCGAAAGCCUGAUCCAGCCAUGCCGCGUGUGUGAAGAAGGUCUUCGGAUUGUAAAGCACUUUAAGUUGGGAGGAAGGGCAUUAACCUAAUACGUUAGUGUUUUGACGUUACCGACAGAAUAAGCACCGGCUAACUCUGUGCCAGCAGCCGCGGUAAUACAGAGGGAGCAAGCGUUCAUCGGAAUUACUGGGCGUAAAGCGCGCGUAGGUGGUUUGUUAAGUUGGAUGUGAAAUCCCCGGGCUCAACCUGGGAACUGCAUUCAAAACUGACUGACUAGAGUAUGGUAGAGGGUGGUGGAAUUUCCUGUGUAGCGGUGAAAUGCGUAGAUAUAGGAAGGAACACCAGUGGCGAAGGCGACCACCUGGACUAAUACUGACACUGAGGUGCGAAAGCGUGGGGAGCAAACA